AGUGAACGCUGGCGGUAGGCCUAACACAUGCAAGUCGAACGGCAGCACAGUACGAGCUUGCUCUUACGGGUGGCGAGUGGCGGACGGGUGAGGAAUACAUCGGAAUCUACUUUUUCGUGGGGGAUAACGUAGGAAACGUACGCUCACACCGCAUUCCCCCUACGGGUGAAAGCAAGGGGUCCUGCGACCUUGCGCCACUUGAUGAGCCGAUGUCGGAUUAGCUAGUUGGCGGGGUAAAGGCCCACCAAGGCGACGAUCCGUAGCUGUUCUGAGAGGAUGAUCAGCCACACUGGAACUGAGACACGGUCCAGACUCCUACGGGAGGCAGCAGUGGGGAAUAUUGGACAAUGGGCGCAAGCCUGAUCCAGCCAUACCGCGUGGGUGAAGAAGGCCUUCGGGUUGUAAAGCCCUUUUGUUGGGAAAGAAGAGCAGCAGGUUAAUACCCCGCUGUUCUGACGGUACCCAAAGAAUAAGCACCGGCUAACUUCGUG
RNAcentral lists this ribosomal RNA (491 nucleotides) under uncultured bacterium. Its description in RNAcentral is "partial 16S ribosomal RNA". It matches the Rfam family "Bacterial small subunit ribosomal RNA", at positions 29 to 507 of the family's 1533-position model. The record is from RNAcentral.